ACCUGAGUUCUAAAUUUAUUUCUCAAAGAAGCCAAGCUCCUGAGAGAGAAAUGAUACUGUGAGAGUAUCUGCCUGGAAACCCUGUUGCCUGGAGACCACUCUUGAAGAACAUCCACUGCUGUGGCCUCUUAAAGAUUUAAGACAUCUAAUGAAGAGCUGACAGAAAUCAUCAAUUUGCUCCUCAUUUCAGUGUCAAAUCAUGAUGCAACAGCAGAGUGAACUCAGUGUUUUUGGUAUGAAGAAGAUCUCCAUGUGUUUCCAUCAUCAGCAUCUCCUGUGCUCUUAAUCUUACCCUGGAUACUUGACCCAGGUGCCCAUGCUGUGAAUUCUUUCAUUGUAGGAAAGAGAAACAGAUGUUGGCACCAGGCUCUUGGACUUCCCAGCUUCCAGAAUCAUGAGCCAAAUAACCUCUUUUCUUUAUAAA
Molecule: non-coding RNA, 424 nt
Filed under: Pongo abelii (Sumatran orangutan)
Lineage: Eukaryota; Metazoa; Chordata; Mammalia; Primates; Hominidae
Source: RNAcentral